CCUACGGGGGGCUGCAGUGGGGAAUAUUGGACAAUGGGCGAAAGCCUGAUCCAGCAAUGCCGCGUGAGUGAUGAAGGCCUUAGGGUUGUAAAGCUCUUUCGCACGCGAGGCGGUAGCGUGAGAAGAAGCCCCGGCUAACUUCGUGCCAGCAGCCGCGGUAAUACGAAGGGGGCUAGCGUUGUUCGGAAUUACUGGGCGUGAAGGGCGCGUAGGCGGCGACGAUAGUCAGAAGUGAAAGCCCCGGGCUCAACCUGGGAAUUGCUUUUGAUACUGUGUUGCUUGAAUUCGGGAGAGGUGAGUGGAAUUCCCAGUGUAGAGGUGAAAUUCGUAGAUAUUGGGAAGAACACCGGUGGCGAAGGCGGCUCACUGGACCGAAUGACGCUGAGGCGCGAAAGCGUGGGGAGCAAACAGGAUUAGAUACCCUAGUAGUC
RNAcentral lists this ribosomal RNA (431 nucleotides) under uncultured bacterium. Its description in RNAcentral is "partial 16S ribosomal RNA". It matches the Rfam family "Bacterial small subunit ribosomal RNA", at positions 338 to 795 of the family's 1533-position model. The record is from RNAcentral.